UGCUCAAGAGAGCCAGCAAACAGGCAGCUA
This 30-nucleotide non-coding RNA is filed under the name Rattus norvegicus (Norway rat). The record is from RNAcentral. Lineage: Eukaryota; Metazoa; Chordata; Mammalia; Rodentia; Muridae.